CCAACACCUAUUGCUGAGGCUCUUGUCUUGAAACAGAAGCCAGGAACAGGAGCUUUUUCCCUCCUAGGUGUAGUGCCUCAAAGUUUGGGGCCUUCUCCUAGGAGGUUGCAGCUGUGGAUCUUCUGAGAAACAUGAUCUCCUCCAAAAUGACAUCCAAAGAAGGAUCACCUGCUACAGCCAGCUUCUCUGUUCCUUUGGCCAGGCUUGACUGUGGUUUGGUGCCAGGCUAGUUUCAGAGGUAAUGCAGAUGGAAGGAAUUCAGCCAGCACUCCUUCAUCACAGCACGCCACCUCUCCAGGACACAGGGGGUAUGCCAUGAAUUAGAUCAGGAAAUAAUGUUUAUUUCCUGUGGCUCUUUUUUAUUAUUUUUCAGUAGAACGGGUCCCCUGAUCUGGUUCACAGUAUGGCCCGCAAAAAGCUGGAGCUGGGAAAAUUGAGGAGGGGUGCAGUAUUGCCUGAGGACAAAAAAAGGUGGAACUGGAUGUUUCUGAGGCCACAGGAUCAGAAAACUGUGGCCUUCCUGCUACCAGCCUGGAGAUGAGUCUUCCCUCAAUUUCUAGCAAGCAACAAGCUUGUGAAUAUGUCUUACGGCACAGGUAAUCUGCAUAUGCUUUCAAAUCUCAUCUGACCUUCCUCUUCUCUUUACUUUCUGUUAUUUAAUGUCUUGUUCACAAAUUCUUUUAUCAAACACUUUAAAUAAUUUUAGAGGUACUGUCUUCUUUAAAAAAAAAAAUCUAUCUAGGACUUAGUGAUGAGCAGUUCCUAGUCACACAGCAAAGAUGAUCAGUGUAAGGAAGAGUGAGAAAUACUUGAAUGAGAACGUGGACAGUCAAAGUGUGAACGAAAAACUACUAGCUGCAAAGCAUCAGCCCAACUGUAUGUGUGUUUCUUUUGUUUAAGAAUCUGACCUGUAGAUAUGCAAUGACUGAGCAAAGAGCCCAGAAAUGAAAUAUAUGAUUGUUCUUCAUACAAGGUAGUUCUAGCAUACGCUCAGUGUAUCAGUUGUGAAUGCUGGAAAAGACUGGGUGUAGCACAGUGAGUGUUAGUCAUGGCCUGGAAACAGGGUAGGAAAACAAUUUAGGCUGAAUAGUUACUCAGCUAAUUGCUUUGAGUAAGUCUCAGAUUUACACACCCCAGAACCCAAACUCAAAAUUUUUACUUGAUAGUAUGAGGCAAAUACUCGCCCUUUCUCUGGGGGAGGUGGGGUUGGGUGGGGUGUAAAUCUUAGGAGCUUUCUAAAACUGCAUUUGCAGUAAUACAGGCAAACAGGAAAAGGAGCUAAGGAUCUUGGAGGGCUGCAAAACUGUGAUUAGAUGAGCUCUGGAAAAUGCAUUGUAGUGAACAGAAAGUAGCAGUGCUGUAUGGUGCAUAUCCUACCUGAUCACCAUGUGCUACCACUCUGAAAGCAGCACGCAACCUGUACUUUCCCUUUAAUUGCCUCAGGAAAAAGAAAAACAAACCAGCUUAGCUUUAAACUCACCUUCAAAAGCCAACGGACCUUGCACUGAAACAAAUAUACAUGCACAUGAUUCACACUGACUCUCCUUGGGUGCUCUGGCAAUAACACAACUUUUAAAAUCACUGCAUCUGCUUGCUAAAUAAACGUGCUUACACCUUUGGUGCAUGAAGAACUUGGCCUGAGGUGUACAUACUUAGUAUGGAGGCAAACGUAAGUUCCACUUCAGUUUUAAUUUCUGCACUUGGACUGAAUUGUUUACAAAGAGAUGAGACCACAGCAAGCCGACGUUUACAUGGUAAUUCAUUCUUGAAAUCUGCAUAAAACAUGAGCAAAGGCACAGAAAAUACUGAAGCUUAGAUUAAGGCUACAACUAAAGCCAGGCAAGAAUAAAUUAAUAUUGAACGAAGUAUGCUGGGAGAAUUUACCAGUUACAGCAUAAGCUAAUCUAGGCAUGCAAGGGAGUAUAUACACACUGCAGAAGUAUAUAGGAGGACAUAUUUUAAAGAAAAGGAAGCAGAAGUUGCUAAUAAUUGCAUUAAGAAACAUGUUCCACCAUACGUUUUCUUGCUUUUUUAUUCUAGUAUGUCUUGCUAAUAUAGAACCUCUUCAGGGAAAGGGCAGAUUUUCAGCACAAUUAUUAAAGGACUGUAAGGACAGCACAGGGUGUUACAGGAAAGAAGGGUUGGGAAUUGGAAGCAGACGUCAGAGAGAGGCACGGAGUUGACGUAAAUAGUAAAGAGACUUGAGAGGGACAGUGAAAGAUAGCUUAGCUGGAGAGGGGGACGAAUGGAGGCCAGAAAAGAUGUUGCAAUAGUCAGCUAAUGAAUAAGAUAUGAAUCACAGUUACGGUGGUGAUGGCAGGGAGUGAUUUUAAAGAUGUCGUCCAGGAAGAGAAUCUCAGUGAGAUCAAUAAAACACCAAAUGUGAAACUGAGGUUGGGGAAAAGGGGGCAACAAAGACUUCAUUGAGCCAACAGAGCAAAAGUAGGAAGAAGUGAAAAGCCUAGAUAAGUAAAGAAACUCUUUGAAAUAGGAAACAUUCAAAGAGUAUUCAGCAGAAACAGUGCUUCAGUAGAAACAGUAUUUCAAUAGAAACACAGGGAUCAAUAAACUAAAAUGCAUUAAGCAAUAAAUUAAGAAUUAGUUAAAUCAAAGCAUCUAUUUCCAGGGAAAAUAGGAAAAAACUUGCAUAUGGGAGGAAACUGUUAUCCGUUCACUGACCCAUCAUGGCAAGUACCAUAUGCAUCAAAGGAAGGAGCAAAAAACCCCAGUAACAGAAUAACAAAACUUACUUCUAGUUCAGGAUACCAAGCAGUGAUUUGUUUUCUAAAAUCGUGUAAUUUUAUUAUACCAAGUCUAACUGAUUUGUUAGCAAUUCUCAGAGACAAUAAAACCAUAAAUAAAUCUGCUAAAUCCUGCUGACUCUGGUAAUACAGUGUCCAGUACAAAAACAAAUGUAUAGAAAAGGAAUCUGACACUGGAGGAAGAAACGAUUUGGAUGAGAAGGUAGGGGGGGAUGUGGAAAAGAACAGCACAGUUGUGUUUUAAAAGUAAUUACAUGUUCCCAUAAACUGUUUUCAGGUUGGUGGUUUCCCCUGUGGCUCCUUCACAUUCUAUAGGAGGCUCAGGUGUGGGCUUCCCCUCAGAAAAUGCUUGAGGGGUACUGUUUUCCCCCUCUCUUUCAGUUCACCCUUUAAAGUGUGUAUCCUGCAUUUCUGUAAGAAAGGUGCUUGCUCACCGCUAAUGGUUUUUCUUUAAAGAACUUUUUUAUUAAAAUGGAGAAAAUAAAGACUGAAAUUAAUAACGAGGGGGGGCAGAGAACUGUCACAUUAAAAAAUAUGUUAAUUGAACAAUUCUUAACAUUGCUGCUGAUAACAGCUAGCUAUAGCGAUGAUGACAGCACCAGCAUAAAACCAAGAUUGGUUAUUAGAGAAAUUGUAAACAUUUUGGGUUAAAAAGGGUUGGUUGAUAAGUUUAAAGCACCAUUAUCUUAUGUGCAACUGUUCUUAGUCUUUCUCACACCAGAAGAGUCAUACGGACAUCUGGAAUUUUUGAUCAUGACACUCUUGAGAAAUAAUGAACUAUUUCACUAGGAAGUAGAGAGUAAUAAGCAAAGUCACUUUCAGAUAUGGACAGAAAUGACCUGAAUGACCAAGUCCAUACCUUAAAUUGAUGGGGUGGCAUGGUAAACAUCUCAAAAUUAAAGUAACAACUUUAAUCACUUAUUUUGUAGGGAAAUAAAAUGUCAGCUUAGACUUAAAAAAAAAUUCCAAUGUCUAAAUAGGUUUGUGGAACAUGAGACUUGUGCAAACCUGAAACUUGCAUCCUGGUUCCAUCCAAACCUUUCAUAUUAAAAUGAGGCAGAUGAGUCUCAUAUGGUUUAUCUUUAAACAUUUUAAUUUAUCACCUUUAGUCCUAGAGCUUUUCUAAGCCAGCAGAGAGACGUGCAUCUAAAAACAACCAAACCUCAAAACCAACCACAAGGCAAACUAGCACAGACACUUCCGUAACAGGACUGCAAUGCUGGGACAGAGCUUCAUAACAAAAGGUCAGGACAGAUAAAUCUCACAGGUCUCCUCUGUUUCACAGUUAAUUUGGUUCUUUUUUUUAAAGACAGUUGAUCUGGUGAGAAAGAACUGCUCUUUUAACAAUAACUUGCAUACUGUGUAUGCAUGUAGCCCACAUAUUAACUUAAGUAGAUCAGAUGUAAUCAUCUCCUCUUCAUUAUCACAUGGGACUUUUGGCUUUGACUUAUUUUGAGCAGGCACAAAUAGGCAGGAUUCAGCAUCCACAAAAUUACACACAAAAAGUCUUUAAAUUGCACUCAAAUAGUUUCCUGUACUUCCGUUAGUGUCCUCGGUUCAUAAAACUUGUUGUCUUGUGACGUUCCAGCCACUUCUGUUCUUUUAAGAAGAGUAAUUCAAUAAUAUUAAAAUAAUUUUCAAUUAGUUCGUUAGUUCAGCAAAAAUUCAGUAGUCACACAAAGAGAAACAGAACCAUACGUGUGCUAUUUCAGCUUAUAAAAUGCUAGCUACGAUGCUUGGUCUCUGCAGUUCCUGUUCAAAUAAAUACCUAAAAGGGAAGGCUCUAUUUUACUUAUUAUAGCAACUUUGUCAGGAAAGACUUUCAUGAUGACCCAGCAAAAAUGAGGCAUAUUGUCUGCUAAAACGUCUGUCAUCAGAUCAGCAGGAGAAACCACAGCAAAUAUUUGAGCAUGGGUUCAGCGCACUGCCUGUGUUUUGCCAGUAGUUGGAGGAGGUGGUGAAGGUGCUUGCUGGUGUAGUCUGUUUCCCAAACUUCUGAAUGAGUCUGUGCUGACUUGGAUCUGCUCAUCUGCUUCCCCAGAAUUGUUACAAGACACUCCGUAUCUGGCCUUUAAAUAAAUGGAAAGGCAUUUUUGUUUUGCAAAUGAAAACCUUUUGUGACAGAAAUGCUGCCGGUGACUGUGGAGACCUCUGACUAAGCCAGCUGGCUACUGGAAAGAUGGAAAAUCAACGACUGCACAAGUCUGGCUGCUUGUUUCACAACUGUCAAGCUGUUAGGCAACAGUAAUAUAGUUACUGCAUAUUAAUAGAAUGUAACACUAAUUAAAGCUUAUUCCAGCUAAAAGCCUAGUAAAUAAUCUAAUUUCUGAUUUCUAAAAGCUUUUAAAUAGCUAAUGGAUGUUUUUGGUAUUUAGUAUGUUAUUAAGAUUUUAACUGUGAUACAAAUUUACACAAUCCAGUCAGUAAUCUAUACUUAAAAAGCACUUUUGAUACAAAAGAAAUCAGUAUGGUCUCCUGGGUAAAUAUUUUAAAUGCAGGAUACAUUCCCCUCCUUCACUACAGAUGCUUUCUGCAACGCCAGCCAUUUUUAAGGACAAAAUGUAUGCAGCUUAUUUAGAAGAAAACACUUCCAAAACAAGGAUUAAGAGCGCUCUUCUCCAUGUCUGGGAUAACACAGUCCUCUUCACUGACCAUGCUGUAGACGGAGGUUGCUAUGAGUUCAGUUAUCAGCGAGUGUGGGAUGCGGAGCCCACAGCUCAUAAACAGGAAACAGCCCACAACUCAUUUUAAAUUCCAAUAAAUAUUUUGCGGGUUUACUGCCUUUGGGACAGUGUUAGUGUGUGAGCCAGGCCAAGAUGUAUGAAACAUCUAUUUGUCCCUCAGAAAAGCUAGCUGAGCGCGACAGCUAGGAUGAAGCCUGGCAUGCCUCUGACUGGCAACAGCAAAGUCCUGAUGUGCUGAAUCCCUCAAAAUGUGUAUAUUCCCAACACAAAAGCCUGCAACCAUACCAAGAUCUUACUUUUUAGAAUUGUACUGCAGUGCAUGUAAAAUGUCACCUCAGGGACCAGCAAUACAAGCAUGCAUGCAAACAGACCUCCUAAAUCCAGUCUGAAAGUUCAGUAUGGAAACUCACACAAGUAUCCUCACUCUCCACAGCUUCCUUGCCAAACAAGAGGGGAAACAGUUUUAAGAGCUGAUCACACACUGAAAGAAAACCAAUAUAUAUUUUUAACUGCAUAGAAGCUUAUUCUGGUUUUGUAUAUUUCGGGGUGGGGGGGAAGAAAGGAAAAGAAAGAGAGAGAGAAAGAGAGAGAGAAAGAGAGAGAGAGAAAGAGAGAGAGAGAAAGAGAGAGAGAGAAAGAGAGAGAGAGAAAGAGAGAGAGAGAAAGAGAGAGAGAGAAAGAGAAAGAGAGAGAGAAAGAGAGAGAGAAAGACAGAGAGGAAAGAGCCAAACUGAAAGAAAAACUCUGUGCAGAUAACAUCUUUUAUGGAAAUAGUCCCUCAUCCUUGUUAUCAGCUGAGCUCUCUUACACAUAGGUGUUAAAAUUGGGAAUUAACCUUCUAAAUCAAUUGAUUCUUGCGGCAUUGGGUGUUGGCCCAGGUUGGGACAGACCUUGAAGCAGUGAAGUCAGGCUGUGACCAGAACCGGCUUGAAAUAGUUUGAAAAAGCCUUAAAUAAAGCCUCUACCAUUACUAUUGUUCCUGUACUGAGUGCUCCGGUGCCCAGGUCCAUGUGCUUAACCCAAAUUUGUGAGAAACUUACGUAAUUAAAUAUGGUGCUCACUGCAGUAGGGGCCAAGCCUCCAGGACAGUGCUCUCCUUCCUUCCCUUCCGGGCCCAUGUUUCUGUUUUCUGAACUGCCACAAACUAUGUUUCCAUUGAGUGAAAACAAGUAGAAGCUCUGUGUGUGUGCACACACUUGGUACCUGUAAAAUAAUUUCCUGUUGGAAACAUUUGAAGUGAAUCAUGUUUUCUCCUCCUGGCAUGUUAUUGACUACUCAGGUCAGUAAUAAAGUGCUUUUUUUUCCAAAUAGAGUGAGAACAUGAAAGUGAAAAUGCAAUCAUAUGAUUAAAAAAAGCUUGUGAUGUAUUUUGUAAAGUGAUGAGCACAAGCAUGAGGACCAUCAAGAAAUGCUUCAUCUAGCAGUCAAAGAGCAGAAAUCGGGGGUGGUGGGGGCUGACCUCCUUUUAAAACCAGUGUAUUUAUGCUUCUAGUUACCUUUCCAAGAUUCGAGAGCCUCAAGA
Phalacrocorax carbo (great cormorant) is the source of this 6968-nucleotide non-coding RNA. The record is from RefSeq and is a predicted model, not a curated record. NCBI's taxonomy places the organism in Eukaryota, Metazoa, Chordata, Aves, Suliformes, Phalacrocoracidae.